CAAUAACAACAGGAGAGUCAGCAACUAAACAAUUCAUUAUACACUAAAUUGCACAUAUGUAAUCCUUCAACAAACUUCUAUAUGCUAGUCCUCAAUGAGGAAAGACUGGUGGCAAACUGAUAGUAUUCAAAAACUGUCAUGAGACUGACAUCAAGGGUGUUUAAUUUAACAUUUUCUUAAUGUUUGAGCGAAGUCAAACUCAACAGCAACACCGUGGAUGACGAAACUCUGUUAAAAAAGCGUAGAAUUGAGAAAGACGCCAUAACCAUUGACGAUAACAGUGAUUCGUCAAGCUCGUCGCAAAGCGAGUCGGAGGACAGCGAUGUUGACAUUUUCAUUGAUGUUUAAAGUACAAUGACUUUGUAAAUAUCAACACAUACUCGCUGGUACAAACAUUU
Non-coding RNA from Paramuricea clavata, 398 nucleotides. The record is from the annotation of a GenBank genome assembly. NCBI's taxonomy places the organism in Eukaryota, Metazoa, Cnidaria, Anthozoa, Malacalcyonacea, Plexauridae.